RNAcentral lists this ribosomal RNA (779 nucleotides) under Streptomyces sp. Its description in RNAcentral is "bacterial SSU rRNA". It matches the Rfam family "Bacterial small subunit ribosomal RNA", at positions 56 to 849 of the family's 1533-position model. The record is from RNAcentral. Lineage: Bacteria; Bacillati; Actinomycetota; Actinomycetes; Kitasatosporales; Streptomycetaceae.
UGCAGUCGACGAUGAAGCCGCUUCGGUGGUGGAUUAGUGGCGAACGGGUGAGUAACACGUGGGCAAUCUGCCCUGCACUCUGGGACAAGCCCUGGAAACGGGGUCUAAUACCGGAUAUGAUCACCGGCCGCAUGGUCUGGUGGUGGAAAGCUCCGGCGGUGCAGGAUGAGCCCGCGGCCUAUCAGCUUGUUGGUGGGGUGAUGGCCUACCAAGGCGACGACGGGUAGCCGGCCUGAGAGGGCGACCGGCCACACUGGGACUGAGACACGGCCCAGACUCCUACGGGAGGCAGCAGUGGGGAAUAUUGCACAAUGGGCGCAAGCCUGAUGCAGCGACGCCGCGUGAGGGAUGACGGCCUUCGGGUUGUAAACCUCUUUCAGCAGGGAAGAAGCGCAAGUGACGGUACCUGCAGAAGAAGCACCGGCUAACUACGUGCCAGCAGCCGCGGUAAUACGUAGGGUGCGAGCGUUGUCCGGAAUUAUUGGGCGUAAAGAGCUCGUAGGCGGCCUGUCGCGUCGGAUGUGAAAGCCCGGGGCUUAACCCCGGGUCUGCAUUCGAUACGGGCAGGCUAGAGUUCGGUAGGGGAGAUCGGAAUUCCUGGUGUAGCGGUGAAAUGCGCAGAUAUCAGGAGGAACACCGGUGGCGAAGGCGGAUCUCUGGGCCGAUACUGACGCUGAGGAGCGAAAGCGUGGGGAGCGAACAGGAUUAGAUACCCUGGUAGUCCACGCCGUAAACGUUGGGAACUAGGUGUGGGCGACAUUCCACGUCGUCCGUGCCGC